CAGGGGGUAGUUUAUUUUAAAAUGUUGGCUUUGGAGGCUAACGAUGAGUUUGUCUUUCCCUUGA
This 64-nucleotide transfer RNA is filed under the name Cryptotermes parvifrons. RNAcentral's name for it is "tRNA-Pro". Lineage: Eukaryota; Metazoa; Arthropoda; Insecta; Blattodea; Kalotermitidae. The record is from RNAcentral.